AGGAUUUGGUUUAGGAUUUAGGGUUUGGUUUAGGAUUUAAGAUUUAUUUAGGAUUUGAUUUAAGAUUUAAGAUUUAGUUAGGAUUUGAUUUAGGAUUUAGAGUUUGGUUUAGGAUUUGGUUACGAUUUAGGAUUUGGUUUAGGGUUUGUUUAGGAUUUGGUUAAGGUUUGGUUUAGGAUUUGGUUAGGUUUUGGUUCAGGGUUUAGGAUUUGAUUAGAGUUUGGUUAGGAUUUGAUUUAGGAUUUGAUUAGGUUUUGGAUUAGGAUUUAAGAUUUGGUUAGGAUUUGGUUUAGGAUUUAGGGUUUAAGAUUUAAUUAGGAUUUAAUUUAGGGUUUAGGAUUUGAUUUAGGAUUUAAGAUUUGGUUUAGGAUUUAGAGUUUGGUUUAAGAUUUAGUAUUUGAUUAUUAUGAUCUAAUUAGAGUUUAUUUAAUAUUCUAUUAGAGCUAGGAUUUUGUUGUUGUAAUUUCUAUUCUAUCUUCCU
This 481-nucleotide long non-coding RNA is filed under the name Physcomitrium patens. RNAcentral describes it as "long non-coding RNA (PPAT_LNC000026)". Lineage: Eukaryota; Viridiplantae; Streptophyta; Bryopsida; Funariales; Funariaceae. The record is from RNAcentral.